Sorghum bicolor (sorghum) is the source of this 766-nucleotide long non-coding RNA. RefSeq lists it as uncharacterized. Lineage: Eukaryota; Viridiplantae; Streptophyta; Magnoliopsida; Poales; Poaceae. The record is from RefSeq and is a predicted model, not a curated record. The transcript has 4 exons.
CAAAAGCUUGUUCAAAGACCUCAAAAGUUUGAAGUUGAGUGUAUUCAUAAAGAAAUGUUACAGAUCAAUAACGAUUAUGACAUUGUUGAAGCUGAUCUUCUUUUUUUCCCAAUUUGCGCUCAAGACCAUUGGUUCCUUCUCUGCGUUAAUUCACUACAAAAAGAGAUCAAUUUUUUCUCAUCUUCCAGUAUUCCUUGUGCUAAAGAUACAAAUUGUUUCAUAUCUAAUUUGGUGAAUUCCUUUUUCAUCAAUUAUUUAGUAGAACUCUUAUUAAUCUUCUAUGUUCUAACAGUUUCACAUAAAAACUUUUGUACUAAUAAAUUUUCAGGUUACAAAUUUCCAAACAAGUUGCAAAGAAUGUAAAAUAUUUGAUAGGGCAUUACUUCAGUAUGACAAGAAGAUCAUUGAUUGCCCUCAACAGUCUAAUAAUUUCGACUGUGGCCUCUAUGUGAUGAUGUUCAUUGAACAUUUUGAUGGCAUCUCUCUCAAGAAAUUCAAGCCAAGUGAUGUUGCUGAGUUUCGGAAGGUCGUUUCUUAUAAACUGAUGAACCAUGUAAACAAUGAAGGUGUAAUUCCAAAUAUGAAGGCUGAGAAGAUGUUUUUAAUAGACUGAUGUUCCAGAGUUCCCUGGAACCUGGUCUUAGUGUUUUUUGUACCAGAAUUGUUCUAAUUAUUACCACUUCACUGUGAUGUUCAAAUGUAACAUACAUGAUGUUCAGACGUACUGUGUUUGACAUUUUCUGUAACGAGCACUGAUGUUCUGACA